GACGAACGCUGGCGGCGUGCUUAACACAUGCAAGUCGAGCGAGGCCCCUCCUUCGGGAGGGUGUCCUAGCGGCGAACGGGUGAGUAACACGUGGGCAACCUGCCCUCAGCUCUGGGAUAACUCCGGGAAACCGGGGCUAAUACCGGAUACGACCUCCACGGGCAUCUGCGGAGGUGGAAAGUUUUUCGGCUGAGGAUGGGCCCGCGGCCUAUCAGCUAGUUGGUGGGGUAGUGGCCCACCAAGGCGACGACGGGUAGCCGGCCUGAGAGGGCGACCGGCCACACUGGGACUGAGACACGGCCCAGACUCCUACGGGAGGCAGCAGUGGGGAAUAUUGCGCAAUGGGCGAAAGCCUGACGCAGCGACGCCGCGUGAGGGACGAAGGCCUUCGGGUUGUAAACCUCUUUCAGCAGGGACGAAGCGAAAGUGACGGUACCUGCAGAAGAAGCACCGGCCAAAUACGUG
This 465-nucleotide ribosomal RNA is filed under the name uncultured bacterium. RNAcentral's name for it is "partial 16S ribosomal RNA". It matches the Rfam family "Bacterial small subunit ribosomal RNA", at positions 28 to 507 of the family's 1533-position model. The record is from RNAcentral.